This 73-nucleotide transfer RNA is filed under the name Actinomycetota bacterium. Its description in RNAcentral is "tRNA-Thr". It matches the Rfam family "tRNA". From Rfam's summary of the family: Transfer RNA (tRNA) molecules are approximately 80 nucleotides in length. Their secondary structure includes four short double-helical elements and three loops (D, anti-codon, and T loops). The record is from RNAcentral. Lineage: Bacteria; Bacillati; Actinomycetota.
GCCGGCGUAGCUCAACUGGCAGAGCAACCGCCUUGUAAGCGGUUGGGUCGGGGUUCGAAUCCCCGCGUCGGCU